GGGAAGCAGGCAUGUGGAUGAGUGGGGGAGACGCCAAACUCAUCAAUUAACCCUCUUUCAAAUUAUUUGUAAAGCAAAAUAAAAAGGGAAGAACCAGUUACUCCCCCCAGUCUUUUUUCCUCGCUCUUUUUCUUUUUUCUUUUUUUAUUAUUAUUUCACUUCUUUCAUUUUGCUUCGUACAGUAAUGCAUUUUGUUGUUUUUGGGCGACCGAAAGGAAAAC
RNAcentral lists this long non-coding RNA (221 nucleotides) under Gossypium raimondii (Peruvian cotton). RNAcentral's name for it is "long non-coding RNA (GRAI_LNC008488)". Lineage: Eukaryota; Viridiplantae; Streptophyta; Magnoliopsida; Malvales; Malvaceae. The record is from RNAcentral.